RNAcentral lists this unclassified non-coding RNA (1101 nucleotides) under Bombus terrestris (buff-tailed bumblebee). RNAcentral's name for it is "misc RNA ENSBTSG00005022357.1". The record is from RNAcentral. Lineage: Eukaryota; Metazoa; Arthropoda; Insecta; Hymenoptera; Apidae.
UAUUCUGUUAAUUUCCAGGGAUCAACUCGACGCAGUCAUCUGUCUCACUCAUAGCGCGCUCCUCUUGUCCAGAAGUUGUUUGAGCCUUCCAUCUUGUAGCUUCGACAGCUUUAGAGACGUGUCGGUAGCGGAGUAAUUAUCAAUUCCAGCGUGUCUGCAAAUGGACUUCACUGAGUCAUCUGCUUUGGACAAAUAUGAGUGCGUUCUUCUCAGCCGAGAAGAGGGAGUCGUUUGAGGCAGUUUGUUUCACUGCUCUUACGCGUUUGUCGCAAUCUGUACGCUUGUCGGUAUCGCUCAUGGGUAGCAGUGUAUUUGUUCAUUUGAGCUGGCAGGUCCGAAUCAUCCGGCUCGCUCGUACCGAGUUCUUCUCAGCUAAACUUCUUGCUAGAAUCUUGCAUUUUGGUUUCACUGGUCUUUUACACUGCUCGCAAUCUUGACACUUGUUAUGCGAGCCUCUUAUUUGCCAAAUCGGUUGACUCGAGAGAAGGAAGAGGAAAGAAAAUUGCUGGAAUUAUACAAGACGAGCAUCGAUCAGACGCUGUGGCACUACUUUUUACACUUAUUAUACGAGCCUCUUAUUUGCCAAACCGAUUACCUUCGAAAAAGAAAGAGCAAAGAAAAUUGGCGAAAUUAUGCAAGAUAAACAUCGAUCAAGUUGAGAAAGUGAAGUUAACCGGCUUGGACUCACACCAAGGUCACAAAGAAGAAGAUCACGAUAAGUACGUUUCUCUGUUGGUCUUUUGGCUUUCAGGGUACUUCAUGGUUAAACAGAAAGGUUCUACUAUGACAUAAUCGAAAACAAUCUGCUGACUGAAAGAUCCGAGUCUUUUAAAAAUAUCCGCCAACUUCUGUAGAAGAGCAAAGAUACCAAGAUAAGCGAUAUUUUCAUACUACGACAAAUAAUAUUUUUAGCCUUUAUAAAGAGAUCGAAUCGAUACAGGUUUACCUGGAAACCUAAAUAAAAAGACAAAAUUGAUAAAAUUUUGAUAAAAUUGAUUAACAAAGUGCUGAAUUUUAAAAGUACUUGCCCCUAGAAAAUUAGCAAAUCUGACAUCCUUCGGCUCAAACAGGUUGUGUCCGAUUGAAACAAUUCUCCAGACA